Molecule: ribosomal RNA, 356 nt
Filed under: uncultured Pseudomonas sp.
Lineage: Bacteria; Pseudomonadati; Pseudomonadota; Gammaproteobacteria; Pseudomonadales; Pseudomonadaceae
Description: bacterial SSU rRNA
Rfam family: Bacterial small subunit ribosomal RNA
Source: RNAcentral
UCUGACACAGGUGCUGCAUGGCUGUCGUCAGCUCGUGUCGUGAGAUGUUGGGUUAAGUCCCGUAACGAGCGCAACCCUUGUCCUUAGUUACCAGCACGUUAUGGUGGGCACUCUAAGGAGACUGCCGGUGACAAACCGGAGGAAGGUGGGGAGUGACGUCAAGUCAUCAUGGCCCUUACGGCCUGGGCUACACACGUGCUACAAUGGUCGGUACAAAGGGUUGCCAAGCCGCGAGGUGGAGCUAAUCCCAUAAAACCGAUCGUAGUCCGGAUCGCAGUCUGCAACUCGACUGCGUGAAGUCGGAAUCGCUAGUAAUCGUGAAUCAGAAUGUCACGGUGAAUACGUUCCCGGGCCUU